RNAcentral lists this ribosomal RNA (493 nucleotides) under uncultured bacterium. RNAcentral's name for it is "partial 16S ribosomal RNA". It matches the Rfam family "Bacterial small subunit ribosomal RNA", at positions 30 to 523 of the family's 1533-position model. The record is from RNAcentral.
AUUGAACGCUGGCGGCAUGCUUUACACAUGCAAGUCGAACGGUAACAGGUUAAGCUGACGAGUGGCGAACGGGUGAGUAAUGCAUCGGAACGUGCCCGAUCGUGGGGGAUAACGCAGCGAAAGCUGCGCUAAUACCGCAUACGAUCUGAGGAUGAAAGCGGGGGACCGUAAGGCCUCGCGCGAUCGGAGCGGCCGAUGUCAGAUUAGGUAGUUGGUGGGGUAAAGGCCCACCAAGCCGACGAUCUGUAGCUGGUCUGAGAGGACGACCAGCCCCACUGGGACUGAGACACGGCCCAGACUCCUAGGGGAGGCAGGAGUGGGGCAUUUUGUACAAUGGGCGAAAGCCUGAUCCAGCAAUGCCGCGUGCAGGAAGAAGGCCUUCGGGUUGUAAACUGCUUUUGUACGGAGCGAAAAGGUCCUUUCUAAUACAAGGGGCUCAUGACGGUACCGUAAGAAUAAGCACCGGCUAACUACGUGCCAGCCGCCGCCGUAA